AGUUAGUGGCGGACGGGUGAGUAACGCGUGGAAAACCUGCCGUAUACUGGGGGAUAACACUUAGAAAUAGGUGCUAAUACCGCGUAAGCGCACAGCUUCGCAUGAAGCGGUGUGAAAAACUCUGGUGGUAUACGAUGGUUCCGCGUCUGAUUAGCUAGUUGGUGGGGUAAUGGCCUACCAAGGCAACGAUCAGUAGCCGGCCUGAGAGGGUGAACGGCCACAUUGGGACUGAGACACGGCCCAAACUCCUACGGGAGGCAGCAG
This 264-nucleotide ribosomal RNA is filed under the name uncultured bacterium. Its description in RNAcentral is "partial 16S ribosomal RNA". It matches the Rfam family "Bacterial small subunit ribosomal RNA", at positions 90 to 354 of the family's 1533-position model. The record is from RNAcentral.